CUCCCUUCUCGGCCUUUUGGCUAAGAUCAAGUGUAGUAUCUGUUCUUAUCAGUUUAACAUCUGAUACGUCCCCCAGCAGGGAACGACAUAUUAAGUGGAUUUUUAGAACAGGGAGAUGGCAAAGGGGCUUACUAGCGGUUAAGGAAGUGGCCCCGUAAUCAGACAUCUGAGGUGUCACUGAGCAAAGCACUGUCCCCAUACACUACUCCCC
The sequence is a small nuclear RNA, 211 nucleotides long. Its record names the gene U2. It matches the Rfam family "U2 spliceosomal RNA". From Rfam's summary of the family: U2 is a small nuclear RNA (snRNA) component of the spliceosome (involved in pre-mRNA splicing). Complementary binding between U2 snRNA (in an area lying towards the 5' end but 3' to hairpin I) and the branchpoint sequence (BPS) of the intron results the bulging out of an unpaired adenosine, on the BPS, which initiates a nucleophilic attack at the intronic 5' splice site, thus starting the first of two transesterification reactions that mediate splicing. The record is from Ensembl.